CUCUGUAUCUGUCCAUGUCCUGCAGAUUUGUCUCUCUGUAUGUGUCUAUGUCCUGCAGGUGUGUCUCUCCGUAUCUGUCUAUGUCCUGCAGGUUUGUCUCUCUGUAUCCGUCUUUGUCUCUCUGUAUCUGUCCAUGUCCUGCAGGUUUGUCUCUCUGUAUCUGUCUAUGUCCUGCAGGUGUGUCUCUCCGUAUCUGUCUAUGUCCUGCAGUUUUGUCUCUCUGUAUCUGUCUUUGUCUCUCUGUAUCUGUCCAUGUCCUGCAGGUUUGUCUCUCUGUAUCUGUCUAUGUCCUGCAGGUGUGUCUCUCCGUAUCUGUCUAUGUCCUGCAGGUUUGUCUCUCUGUAUCUGUCUUUGUCUCUCUGUAUCUGUCCAUGUCCUGCAGGUUUGUCUCUCUGUAUCUGUCUAUGUCCUGCAGGUUUGUCUCUCUGUAUCUGUCUAUGUCCUGCAGCUGUGUCUCUCCUUAUCUGUCUGUCUCCCGGUGUCGGUCUCACCAUCUCCUGCAGGUCUCACUGGACUGGACAGCCUGGAGCUGAAUCCCAGUGAGCAGCCGCUGUCUGGACUGGGUUUGUCCUGAUGUUUGUCUGCAGCAGUAGGACACGCCUCCUUCACCUGGAACUCACUGACAGGAAGGGGCAGCGUUUAGAGGGGCGGCGUUCCAACAUCCUACAAGCAGAAUUUAUUCACCUGGGACAAACUACUUCCUAAAAUGGGACAUUGAACUCUGACCCUGUUUAUCAUAUUCAAUUAAUUGUCCUUAAAUCCUUUUGUAAGGAGACGGUGUAAAUAUAAACGACCUGAUGACCUGCUUGUGUUUCAAUCUCUUCUCUCCUCUUUUUCUGCUUCUGUCUCUGCUGCCAAAAGCUCUUUCUACCGAUCCAGAAUCCAAUCUUCAUUUUCUAACCCAAAAAAACUAUUUUCGAUAUUCUCCAACCUCCUCCAACCCCCUAGUCCUCCUCCCCCCUUCUUCUGGGUGACUGUCACUACUUUACCAAGAAAAUAGCUGACAUACGCUCCUCUUUCUCAAACCCACCUCCUAUUUCUUGCUUCCCACUGGCUUCACCUCUAUCGCCCUCACUUUCCUCUUUCACCCCCCUGUCUCCUAACCAAGUUCUUACCCUAGUAACCUCUGACCCUCCGACCACCUGCCCUCUUGACCCCAUUCCAUCACAUCUUCAACGGACGCACCUAUCGGGUAACCUGGAGAGGAUCUGUGUUGAACCUUGUCCUCUUACUACUGGAGUUCCUCAGGGUUCCGUCCUGGGUCCCCUCCUCUUCUCUCUCUACACCAACUCUCUCAUUCGCUCACUUGGCUUCUCCUACCACAGCGAUGCUGAUGACACCCAACUAAUUCUCUCCUUCCCUCACUCGGAUCUCUGCCUGUCUGACUGACAUCUCUCAGUGGAUCCGCCCACCAUCUGAAAAUCAACCCCGACAAGAUGGAACUACUUCUCUUUCCAGGAAAAGAUUCUCCUUCACAGGACCUGACUGUUAACUUUGGCGACUCCGUGUUAACGUCCACUUUGACUGCAGGAACCUCGGCGUGACGUCGACAGCCGACUCUCCCUGACUCCAACAUCACUGACAACACCCUGUAGAUACUCGCUCUACAACAUGAGGAGAACACGUCCUCUUCUCACUCAGAAGGUACUGAUUCAGGCUCUUGUCGUCUCCCUCCUGGACCACUGUAACUCUCUCCUGCAGGUCUCCUGCUACCUCCAUUCCACCUCUGCAGCUCAUCCAGAAUGCAGCAGCUCCACUGGUCUUUAACCUUCCUAAGUUC
Molecule: long non-coding RNA, 1780 nt
Organism: Gasterosteus aculeatus aculeatus (three-spined stickleback)
Lineage: Eukaryota; Metazoa; Chordata; Actinopteri; Perciformes; Gasterosteidae
Source: Ensembl